Molecule: transfer RNA, 74 nt
Filed under: Bacteroidaceae bacterium
Lineage: Bacteria; Pseudomonadati; Bacteroidota; Bacteroidia; Bacteroidales; Bacteroidaceae
Also listed under: 1 other name
Description: tRNA-Asp
Rfam family: tRNA
About the family: Transfer RNA (tRNA) molecules are approximately 80 nucleotides in length. Their secondary structure includes four short double-helical elements and three loops (D, anti-codon, and T loops). Further hydrogen bonds mediate the characteristic L-shaped molecular structure. tRNAs have two regions of fundamental functional importance: the anti-codon, which is responsible for specific mRNA codon recognition, and the 3' end, to which the tRNAs corresponding amino acid is attached (by aminoacyl-tRNA synthetases). tRNAs cope with the degeneracy of the genetic code in two manners: having more than one tRNA (with a specific anti-codon) for a particular amino acid; and 'wobble' base-pairing, i.e. permitting non-standard base-pairing at the 3rd anti-codon position.
Source: RNAcentral
GGUGUGUUAGUUCAGUUGGUUAGAAUAUCUGCCUGUCACGCAGGGGGUCACGAGUUCGAGUCUCGUACACACCG